RNAcentral lists this ribosomal RNA (407 nucleotides) under uncultured bacterium. Its description in RNAcentral is "partial 16S ribosomal RNA". It matches the Rfam family "Bacterial small subunit ribosomal RNA", at positions 30 to 526 of the family's 1533-position model. The record is from RNAcentral.
AUUGAACGCUGGCGGCAGGCCUAACACAUGCAAGUCGAGCGGAGGGGCAGACGGGGGAGUAAUGCCUAGGAAUCUGCCUGGGACUGGGGGAUAACGUCCGGAAACGGGCGCUAAUACCGCAUACUAUCAGAUGAGCCUAGGUCGGAUUAGCUAGUUGUUGGGGUAAAGGUAUACCAAGGCGACGAUCCGUAACUGGUCUGAGAGGAUGAUCAGUCACACGGGAACUGAGACACGGGCCAGAGUCCUACGGUAGGCAGCAGUGGGGAAUAUUGGACAAUGGGCGAAAGCCUGAUCCAGCCAUGCCGCGUGUAUGAAGAAGGUCUUCGGAUUGUAAAGCACUUUAAGUUGGGAGGCGUUACCAGCAGAAUAAGCACCGGCUAACUCCGUGCCAGCAGCCGCGGUAAUAC